UGCCGAGCUUUUUUCCCGUUUCGAGCCGAAUCCUUAUAUCGUUGAUAUGUGAAGUCAAUGCACUAUUAUUGUCUUUAUACUGCAAUCUAAAAAAAACCCAUUUUCAAUUAUUGUUUAAUGUGUUAAUGUUAUUAUUUGCUUAAAUAUUGGAAACUUCUCCCUUUUAUAAAAAGGCCUCAUAUCAUGCAGGCGGUGAAAUAUACAA
Molecule: long non-coding RNA, 205 nt
Filed under: Mytilus galloprovincialis (Mediterranean mussel)
Lineage: Eukaryota; Metazoa; Mollusca; Bivalvia; Mytilida; Mytilidae
Source: RNAcentral